This is a non-coding RNA of Dipodomys ordii (Ord's kangaroo rat), 69 nucleotides long. The record is from Rfam. Lineage: Eukaryota; Metazoa; Chordata; Mammalia; Rodentia; Heteromyidae.
GGUAGGUGGCUCAGUGAAAGAGUGCUUGCCUUGCAUGCAUGAGGCCCUAGGUUCGAUUCCUUAGUACCA